CAAUCACAAGCUGCCACAUCCUACUACCAACCCGACCCGUCGCCCGACGCCCCCCAUGGACCCUCCUCCUCCCGCCACCCCGACCACCGCGGCGCCGGCGCCGGCGCUCCUCCGCCGCCUCUCCGCCGUCGACGCCUCCCUCUCCCGGCUGCUCCACCGCCACAACUUCCUCCCCCGCCCCCUCUUCCUCCUCCUCGAGCUCUCCGCCGACUUCCGCCUCUUCUUCCCCGUCUCCCUCUCCCUCUACCUCUCCCCGAUCCCCUCCCUCCGCCCUCUCCUCGCUCCGCUCAUCCUCGGCCUCCUCCUCGACCUGGCUCUCGUCGGCCUCGUCAAGCUCCUCUUCCGCCGCCCUCGCCCCGUCUACAACAAGAACAUGAGCGUCGCCGUCUCCGUCGACCACUACUCCUUCCCCAGCGGACACGCCUCUAGGGUUUUCUUCGUCGCCGCGCUGGUCUACCUCUCGGCUGACGCGAUGGAAGGGGCCGUCGUCGAAUCGAGGUCCGGCGGAUUCGUGGAUCGGUGGAUUGCCGACGGCAGCGAGCGGAAGUUUGUGGAGCUCGUGGUUUUGGUCGCUUCUGCUUGGGCGGCGGCGACGGCGAAUUCUAGAGUCUUGCUCGGACGGCAUUACGUGUGCGACGUGUUGGCCGGAGCGUGCUUGGGUGUGAUCGAAGGUUGGCUUGCGCAUCGUUACCUGAGGUUGUAGUGUUUUGAGGUAAGAAGUUUUCAUAUCAUCUGAUCUUUUGUUAACUAUGAUUGAUAGAUAGGUGAGUGAGAGAGAGAGAGAGAGAAAUUACUGUAAUCUACUGAUGAUAAGAUCACUCCAAUGCGAAAAGUUGCGAAAUUUGUAUGUCAUUAGAGCCUGUCAUUUUCCAUGAAUGAUGUUCUACCGCAAGAAUGUUGCACUUAUUUGGUGGAUAACAACAACCUCACAUUGGACUUGAGCUAUGUGUGUCGGUGUGUUGCGGAGAGCUUGUUCCAUAGUAAGCCGGUUUUUAGUUGAGUUUUAAGGGAAUACUGUAAAGUAGUACAGGUGGGAUGUUGAACUAUGGAUAAAUAGAUUUAUCUAGUAGUCACUUAGGAUUAUGCGGGAUGAGGCGCACAUUACCGACCAUGUAGUACUGGCAUCGGUUGGCCCCUCUUAUACGAAUUCGUCAUGCUAACAGGCUGGCUAUGCUGAGUUUUAAGGACAUGAAUUUCCUGCUUACCAGGCUGCAGCAUGGCAAUCUUUGGAUUAUUGUGAAUUGAAUUUUGUGCAAGCCCCUUGAAGGCAGUUUGUCAACAAUUGGAAGGGCAGUCUUUGCACCUACCGGUUGAAGUUCUCUUCCAAAAGAUCUUGGUCUUAGAAGUAAUUUUUCCUUGUUCCUUUGAUCCCUGCAUGCAUGGGAGCAUGUUGUGAAGUUUCACAGCUUGGCAUGUGAAGCUGUCAUGUCUGAUUUCCUAAUUUUUGUUUGAAAUCUCUCUAUCAACAUCUCAUUUUAUCAAUACAUGUUUUGGAUUCAUUGAUUGAAGGCGAUGAUUGGUGAAGAGUGGGCCUCAUGGUGGUUGCGAAGUAGUCAUGAAGCUCUUGUAGUUUUUAAUCAUUCACCUAGAAUGGUUGAAGGUGAAUUUAGAAUUUCCAGUGAAAGGUGAUCAUGAGAUAAGUCACUGGUGGAUAAACUAGGUUGAUGGUGAUUGUGGUCUCUUAGACUCGCUUACUGCACUCUCGGUAGUCCCAUCUCUUAGUUAAAUGUUGAUCCAAGUCUGUGGAGCGAAGAGGUAGUCAAUGGUUGGACGGAGUCUUGGAUGACAAUACACAUUGAUGUACUGCCAAGCAGAUAGUUGGCAGCAGGCAAGUUGCAGUUAACCGGGUUGAUUUGCAGGGCAAUGUUAGCUCUUUACAAAUGGAUUCCUGCACAAGCUGCACGAGUCUCCAUCUGUUUUAUAUACAAGCAAAUUUAUCAGUCCAUGCUAAGGGGUAGAAUCAUAUUUACAGUCUUUGAGUGCCAUCUUCAGCUCUUUUGCAAGAAAAAAUUGCCAUCUUGAGCUGUCAUUGUGGCGAAACAUUAUAUCAGUUGCUAGAGUUUAUUUACUCUCAGGAUGCAAAUACAUACUGAGAGGUGCGUACCAACAUGAGCUUAGGCUGAUCUUACUUGUCUUACGAAUCUUUGGACCUUAGUUUAUUUACUUCUUCGCGAGUCAGAAUGUGAGUUCUUCGACAUAUUUUCUUUACGUGUCACAAAGAUGUCAGAUGACUUUGAGAGGGAGUGUCUUCCCUUAAUAUUCUUGUAAAUUGCGCUACCCGUGGGGUCUGUAAAUAUUGGACAACAUCAUGAAAGGCAUCCAGUCGUCGUACAUUUUGUAUUCGAUUUAUAUAAUUUAGACGCAGUAGCUA
Molecule: RNA transcript, 2371 nt
Organism: Syzygium oleosum
Lineage: Eukaryota; Viridiplantae; Streptophyta; Magnoliopsida; Myrtales; Myrtaceae
Gene name: probable lipid phosphate phosphatase beta
Exons: 2
Source: RefSeq, a predicted model, not a curated record